AUUGAACGCUGGCGGAAUGCUUUACACAUGCAAGUCGAACGGUAGAGGGGGCAACCCCUCGAGAGUGGCGAACGGGUGAGUAAUAUAUCGGAACGUGCCCAGUCGUGGGGGAUAACGUAGCGAAAGUUACGCUAAUACCGCAUACGAUCUAAGGAUGAAAGCGGGGGAUCGCAAGACCUCGCGCGAUUGGAGCGGCCGAUAUCAGAUUAGGUAGUUGGGGGGGUAAAGGCUCACCAAGCCAACGAUCUGUAGCUGGUCUGAGAGGACGACCAGCCACACUGGAACUGAGACACGGUCCAGACUCCUACGGGAGGCAGCAGUGGGGAAUUUUGGACAAUGGACGCAAGUCUGAUCCAGCCAUUCCGCGUGCAGGAUGAAGGCCCUCGGGUUGUAAACUGCUUUUGUACGGAACGAAAAGGUCUCUCUUAAUACGGGGGACUCAUGACGGUACCGUAAGAAUAAGCACCGGCUAACUACGUGCCAGCAGCCGCAGUAA
RNAcentral lists this ribosomal RNA (496 nucleotides) under uncultured bacterium. Its description in RNAcentral is "partial 16S ribosomal RNA". It matches the Rfam family "Bacterial small subunit ribosomal RNA", at positions 30 to 523 of the family's 1533-position model. The record is from RNAcentral.